Molecule: long non-coding RNA, 722 nt
Filed under: Marmota monax (woodchuck)
Lineage: Eukaryota; Metazoa; Chordata; Mammalia; Rodentia; Sciuridae
Source: RNAcentral
CCGGGGUUUGCUGUAACAACUGCCCUGAAACCUUAGACUACAUUUCACCGCCGAUUACAUUUCCCAGCAAGGAAUGCGGCUCAGCGUACCUGGCAUGGGGAGCGCGAUGCCUACCCUGCUUCUGGCCUAUCUGUGGAACUGCGAUAUCCUCUUGGGAUUUGAGGACUACCUGGAACUCCAUUUCCCGUAGUGCUUUGGAAUUCGCUUUACACCUGCAAUGCGGUGAGGGCGUGGUGACGACUCCAUUUCCCAGCUUGCCUUACGGCCGGAGGUCUGCAGGUUUACCGACGCCGACUCGAUUUCCCAGAGGGCACCUGGCUGCGCGAGACACGCAGCCAAAAGACUUUAAGUGAACGACUGGACUCCGUUUCCCGGCGUGCUUCAGGACUGCACAACUCAAAGCGGCUGCGACUACAUUUCUGAGGUACUCCUCGAGGCUUCCUGUUGCCGCAGUGGAGGGAGUGCGCGGUUCUAUUUCCUAAAAACUAGAGGGUCCGCCUUCGGCACAGCCGACUGACAGAUUUUCCAGGAUUUUAUUUCCCGACGUGCUGCGCGACCCGUCACCCGCGCCGUGUACUCUGAGGCCUUUGCAGACUCCAUUUCCCGGCGUGCCACGCGGGCUUCUGUGCCUGCCGAGGGCGGCGACGGCGGCGCGGUCGGCAGGCGGACUUCAUCUCCCGGCGUGCCCCGCGGCGGGCGCUGGGCCGGAGCCGGAGCCCGAG